Molecule: long non-coding RNA, 130 nt
Filed under: Ictidomys tridecemlineatus (thirteen-lined ground squirrel)
Lineage: Eukaryota; Metazoa; Chordata; Mammalia; Rodentia; Sciuridae
Description: lncRNA (ENSSTOG00000034617.1)
Source: RNAcentral
AAAAAACAAGACUUUAAUUUGGAGCCCAGUACACUGUCUCCUUACCACAGAGCAACUUGAGAUAAGGCUUGGUACAGAGUCUGCUGUGCAGGGGGCGGGGUGGCCUGGAGGGGCUGAGGCAGGUUUCUAG